RNAcentral lists this ribosomal RNA (232 nucleotides) under uncultured bacterium. RNAcentral describes it as "partial 16S ribosomal RNA". It matches the Rfam family "Bacterial small subunit ribosomal RNA", at positions 118 to 350 of the family's 1533-position model. The record is from RNAcentral.
UGGGCAACCUGCCCCUAGCACUGGGAUAACCCCGGGAAACCGGGGCUAAUACCGGAUGUGACCUCGGAGGGCAUCUUCUGAGGUGGAAAUGUUCCGGCGGCUAGGGAUGAGCCCGCGGCCUAUCAGCUUGUUGGUGAGGUAACGGCCCACCAAGGCGACGAUGGGUAGCCGGCCUGAGAGGGCGACCGGCCACACUGGGACUGAGACACGGCCCAGACUCCUACGGGAGGCA